RNAcentral lists this ribosomal RNA (407 nucleotides) under uncultured bacterium. Its description in RNAcentral is "partial 16S ribosomal RNA". It matches the Rfam family "Bacterial small subunit ribosomal RNA", at positions 30 to 526 of the family's 1533-position model. The record is from RNAcentral.
AUUGAACGCUGGCGGCGGGCCUAAUACAUGCAAGUCGAGCGGAGCGGCGGACGGGUGAGUAAUGCCUAGGAAUCUGCCUGGUAGUGGGGGAUAACGUACGGAGACGGGCGCUAAUACCGCAUACUAUCAGAUGAGCCUAGGUUGGAUUUGCUAGUUGGUGGGGUAAUGGCUUACCAAGGCGACGAUCCGUAACUGGUCCGAGAGGAUGAUCAGUCACACUGGAACUUAGACACGGUCAAGACUCCUACGGGAGGCAGCAGUGGGGAAUAUUGGACAAUGGGCGAAAGCCUGAUCCAGCCAUGCCGCGUGAGUGAAGAAGGUCUUCGGAUUGUAAAGCACUUUAAGUUGAGAGGCGUUACCAACAGAAUAAGCCCCGGCUAACUUCGUGCCAGCAGCCGCGGUAAUUC